Pelmatolapia mariae (spotted tilapia) is the source of this 2373-nucleotide long non-coding RNA. RefSeq lists it as uncharacterized. The record is from RefSeq and is a predicted model, not a curated record. NCBI's taxonomy places the organism in Eukaryota, Metazoa, Chordata, Actinopteri, Cichliformes, Cichlidae. The transcript has 3 exons.
UUGGGUUUCAAUUGUUUACCUCUGUUUUAGCCAUUGCUUAGGCUUCGGUUCUUUGUUGUGCAAGAAAAACAACACCACCGCAACUAUAAAAGUGUAUUUUUAAUUUUUAUAUUUGUUAAGCUUGAACAGCGAACGUUUCCUUUGUUUGUUUUUCCACUGAGCGUCAAGAGCAGACCGAUGUUAUUUGACUUGAGAUAUGACUGCACUAUGCUGUUGCUGUGACUCCAGUUAAUUCUACAAGACAUGCUGUGACAACAGGAGAGAUGGGUCCUCCGUCACAGAUGGUGUGGUCAGUGAAGAUGGUCGCCUGCAGGUUCAAGCUCAUUGCAUCUCCAACCCACAUCCACUGCCACUCUACUUAAGGGAAGUUAAAGACUAGAGCAGGGCGAUAUGGCCAAAAAUAUUUAUCACCAUAUAUAUUUGAAAAUUUGCGAUAACGAUAUAACUGACGAUAUAAUUGAUGCGAGACAAAAUACAACUCCACAACUAGCGCAAAAAGAAAAAACCCCAUCCAUUUAUUUUCACUUAAACAAGCAGCUGUUUUUUUUAUGCAUUAAAGCUAUAUCAAAAUUUAACAGUGCAAAUGCAAAUUCCUUGCUGAAAGUUUAACCCAAAUGCAUUUCCAGUAGAAAUGGGCUGACAUAUCCUGAGCAUAACCAUUUAUAAUAUCCACUGAAGUUAAAAAGAGGUGCUUUGCAACAUUAAACUGCAGUGUGCCAAAUAAAAAAGCCAAAUAUGUAUUUUUCGGACCAUAAGGUGCACGGGAUUAUAAGGCACAUUAAGCGAAACAAAGCAGUCAGAUAAAUCAAACUUUAUUCUACUCAUUCUUCUUGCUUCCUCCACUUCUGUACCAUUGAUUCAUUAAUGCUGUAUUCUAUCACAGCUGCUCUAUUCCCAUGUUGUUGCUGUAUAUUAAUGACUAACCUCGUAUUGUGGAUGGAUUAUCUCAGUUGUUCUCCUGACUGAAGUUUGGUCCGUUUACAGCAUCUUGCCAUGUGAUUGCAUUUGUCCCUAACCACCACGAACCCUCACGUUAACCUUUAUCGAGUGGAAAAGUAUUUUAUCUUGAUUAUAUAAGUAAUGUAGGAGCCAUAUGAGUUGCUCUUUUUUGACUAAGUGGGUUGGUUUAAAUGGACUCACUGUAUUGGUGCACAGGUGUGGGGCGUGCCUCAUGGGUGUGGUAGAUGAUAAAUGUGGUUGCACUCACCUGUUCACUGCACCUGAUGUUGGUGAGCAGAAAGGUAGGGUGAGCAUGAGGCAAAACUUUCUGUUGAUCGCAGCUUGAGCGCAGCUUGAAUGACUUUGAUAGAUUUUGACUGUAACUUGAUGUUUUUUGUAUAGUUGUGCACUAAUUGAUGCCAUAGGCCAAGUUGUUAUUUGGCAUACUAAUUGGUAGUGAUGGGUAGAUGAGGCCUCGUGAAGCGUUUCAGCACAUUCCCCAAACUGUGUGGACACAGUUUUGCUGUUUUGCUCCAUACUGACACCUGCUGGACCUUAAAUAUCAUUGUAGGCAACUUACUUGAGACUCACAACAAUUCACAACAAUUCAAUGACCUAGUCAUACUUAUACACUGUAAGGUAUUGUACUUUCUAUGGAAUCAUUUUAUAUCUUUUAUGUUGCAAAUAUUGUAGACAUCACCAGUGUGUGAAUGGGUGGAUGACUGGAUGUGUAAAGCGCUUUGGGGUCCUUAGGGACUAGUAAAGUGCUAUACAAAUACAGGCCAUUUACAUCUUUAAAAUAUAGUGUGAAUCACAUUAAAUGAAAAUUAAGAUGAAAGUAUUGUGAAUGUAAUAUUACCCAUUCGACUCAGUUUAUUAUAAAUUUCUAUUCAGAAAUAUAAGUUUAUCCAAUCUUUUUGCAUUUAGUCUAUUGUGGGUUUUUUUUGUUUUUGUUUGUUUGUUUGUUUGUUUGUUUUUUACACCUUUUCCCCAGCUUUGGAAAACUCACAGGCACAGAUGAAGCUGGGGUACACAAAAGCUGUAAAGUCAGGUGGAAAAGGUUCUGAUAAGAUGUCUUCCUAUUCCCCCAGUACGUUAAAGGAUCCUCUGAUCUUGGAAUUUUUCUCUCUGACACUCUCCACAAUACUAAGGGGUUGGCAGUCCUUUAUAAUAAAAUUCAGGACUGCUUGGUCCAGAACAGUCUUCCUAGAUGCUUGAUUUGAAAAAUAAAACGCAUACUAAUAAAAAAAAAAAUGAUGAUAAAGCUGUUCAGUGUCAGUAUAGGCCGACCUGUGUUCAUUCUCAGUGUGUUUGUCUCCUCAUUUUCAUGUUUGGCUCUGUAAUGCCUCUGUAACACUGAGGAUUUGCUUUUGUUUGUAAGAAAGCUCUGCAGAACAGAUGCAACAUUUAUCCUGCAUAAAAUGAAAUAAAUAA